UAAGCGNNGAAAAAAACUAAGAUUCCCCUAGUAACGGCGAGUGAAGCGGGAUGAGCUCAAUUUAAAUCUGGUGGUCUUUGNCUGCCCGAGUUGUAAUCUAGAGAAGUGUUUNNGCGCUGGACUGUGUACAAGUUUCCUGGAUACGGAACAUCAUAGAGGGUGAGAAUCCCGUCCNUGACACAGACUCCCAGUGCUUUGUGAUGCACUCUCAACGAGUCGAGUUGUUUGGGAUUGCAGCUCAAAAUGGGAGGUAAAUUCCUUCUAAAGCUAAAUAUUGGCGAGAGACCGAUAGCGAACAAGUACCGUGAGGGAAAGAUGAAAAGCACUUUGGAAAGAGAGUGAAACAGUACGUGAAAUUGUUGAAAGGGAAACGCUUGAAGUCAGUCGCGUCGUCCGAGACUCAGCCUCGCCUCGGCUUGGCGUACUUCUCGGCCCGACGGGUCAGCAUCAAUUUCGCCUCUCGGAUAAUGGCGAGGGAAAAGUGACACCUUUACGGUGUGUUAUAGUCUCUCGUCGCAUGCGAGGGUCGGGAUUGAGGAACUCAGCACGCGCCCUCGGGCGUCGGGGCUUUCGCCCACGAUACGUGCUUAGGAUGUUGGCGUAAUGGCUUUAAACGACC
Molecule: ribosomal RNA, 619 nt
Filed under: uncultured Russulaceae
Lineage: Eukaryota; Fungi; Basidiomycota; Agaricomycetes; Russulales; Russulaceae
Description: LSU rRNA
Rfam family: Eukaryotic large subunit ribosomal RNA
Source: RNAcentral